AUCUGACGCUCAGGCUCCGCCCCCUGCAUGUCUUUGUUGGCAAACAGUUCUGGGGGUCGUCCGAUCCUGCAGGUAGUGUCCGCGUGGGAGGGGAGGUGCAGCCGUCAGCGCUGCCGGCGGCUCCCGUUACGUGAAUUAGUGAGAGGUUCAAACUUCUUCCCCAGGCUUCAGUGUCACAUCUUUUCACACGGGCACCCCGAGGGCCCGGACUGGAAAGGCGAGCCAGCCAUCUCGAGACUGGGCGCUCCUGCCCGCCUUUUAGUGCCCAUGUGGCCCCAUCCUGGGUGUGGGAGCGGCGGGGCUUCCGGGGAGGGCGCUGGGACGCGCGGACGAGGCCCUCCCCGUUUAGGGAAUGGGUGGCUUUCGGAGUCUUCUGGGGGCCCGGCAUGCCCGCUGCUUGCGGGGCGUCCCAGGUGGUGCAGGACCCGUGAGACGCUGAACCUGGGGCCUCGUAACGCCUAGGUUUCCAUUCGGGCGCUCUGGAUGGGUCCGAGACUCGGCAUUUCUCACAGGUUCCCAGGAAACGAUGCCAGCGCUUUGAGUAGCGAAGAGGUGGAGAAAUAGCCCGGGCCGUUUGCAAGCUUUGAAGGUCCAGGCUCUCUUUCACACUCCUCAGUGUCAUCUCAAACUGUCAAACGCAGCCACAUCCGUUAUACAAUACAUGUUUUGUAGUAAAAGUGUUUUGUUGUGCCGUAAGAUACAGAAAGUGUUUUUAAAAAUUAACUUGGCUCUUGCAAUUUGGCUGUCUCAAUUUGUAAUUCACGUUUGGCUCUUACAACUCACUGUCCUGUCCGUUUUCAGGAAUGCUCCUGAUGAGUAAGCAUUCAACUCACAAAUUGCUUUCAAAUGUAACAAAACAAUUUUAUGAAUUAAAUUUAACAGGCCGGGCGCGGUGGCUCACGCCUUUAAUCCCUGCACUUUGGGAGGCCGAGGUGGGCAGAUUGCCUGAGGUCAGGAGAUCGAGACCAGCCUGACGAACAGGGUGAAACCCCAUCUCUACUAAAAAUACAAAAAUUAGCCAGAUGUGGUGGUGGGCGCCUGUAAUCCCAGCUACUAGGGAGGCUGAGGCAGGAGAAUCGCUUGAACCUGGGAGGCAGAGGUUGCAGUGAGCAGAGAUGGCAACACUGCGCUCCAGCCUGGGCGAUAGUGAGACUCUGUCUUAAAAAAAUAAUAAUAGUGAAUUAAAUUUAACAGUUAAUUUGAUAUAAUAGUGUAUUUUGUAGACAUUUACUUCAACAUGUAUUGAUUUUGAUUUUUAUCAUUUCAUUUGAAUAUUGCAGCCAAUAAUUCUUUUUUGGUUUUUGCAAGUUAUGCAUUGUUUUUUAUGGUGAAAAGUUGAACAUAAUAUCUAACACUAGGAGGAGGAUAGUCAAAUUUGGUUUUGGUAGAAAAUAAACCCUGUGCAACCAUAAACUUGUUUUUCAGGAAUAUUUAAGAACAUUUAAAUUGCAUAUCAUAUAAUGUUAAGUGAUAAGUGAAAUUUUAAAAAGCCAAUAUGCAGCCUAGCGCGGUGGCUCACGCCUGUAAUCCCAGCACUUUGGGAGGCAGAUGCGGGUGGAUCACGAGGUCAGGAGAUCGAGACCAUCCUGGCUAACACGGUGAAACCCCGUCUCUACUAAAAAUACAAAAACAAAAUUAGCCAGGUUUGGUGGCAGGCACCUGUAGUCCCAGCUACUCAGGAGCCUGAGGCGGGAGAAUGGUGUGAACCCAGGAGACGGAGCUGGCAGUGAGCCGAGAUUGCACCACUGCACUCCAGCCUGGGCAGCAGAGCGAGACUCCGUAUAAAAAAAAAAAAGCCAAUGUGCAAUAUGAUCUUAAUUUUAAAAACGUCUCCAUUUCUGUCUCUGUGUCCACAAAACAGACCUCUGAGCCGUAAAAUGAAGUGAUUUAAAAUUUAUUCUUUACAUUUAUUGAUUUGCAUAUAUUGAACUAGCCUUGCAUCCCAGGGAUGAAGCCCACUUGAUCAUGGUGGAUAAGCUUUUUGAUGUGCUGCUGGAUUCGGUUUGCCAGUAUUUUAUUGAGGAUUUUUGCAUCAAUGUUCAUCAAGGAUAUUGGUCUAAAAUUCUCUUUUUUGGUUGUGCCUCUGCCCGGCUCUGGUAUCAGGAUGAUGCUGGCC
This 2116-nucleotide long non-coding RNA is filed under the name Homo sapiens (human). RNAcentral's name for it is "non-protein coding EDRF1-AS1:41". The record is from RNAcentral. Lineage: Eukaryota; Metazoa; Chordata; Mammalia; Primates; Hominidae.